AUUGAACGCUGGCGGAAUGCUUUACACAUGCAAGUCGAACGGCAGCACGGGGCAACCUGGUGGCGAGUGGCGAACGGGUGAGUAAUACAUCGGAACGUGCCCAAUCGUGGGGGAUAACGUAGCGAAAGUUACGCUAAUACCGCAUACGAUCUACGGAUGAAAGCGGGGGAUCGCAAGACCUCGCGCGAGUGGAGCGGCCGAUGUCAGAUUAGGUAGUUGGUGGGGUAAAGGCUCACCAAGCCAACGAUCUGUAGCUGGUCUGAGAGGACGACCAGCCACACUGGAACUGAGACACGGUCCAGACUCCUACGGGAGGCAGCAGUGGGGAAUUUUGGACAAUGGGCGCAAGCCUGAUCCAGCCAUUCCGCGUGCAGGAUGAAGGCCUCGGUUGUAACUGCUUUGUACGGUACGAACGGACGAGCUCUAAUACAGUUUGCUAAUGACGGUACCGUAAGAAUAAGACACCGGCUAACUACGUAGCCAGCAGCCGCGGUAAAACG
Molecule: ribosomal RNA, 500 nt
Filed under: uncultured bacterium
Lineage: Bacteria
Description: bacterial SSU rRNA
Rfam family: Bacterial small subunit ribosomal RNA
Source: RNAcentral